GACGAACGCUGGCGGCGUGCUUAACACAUGCAAGUCGAACGGAAAGGCCUUUUCGGAGGUACCCGAGUGGCGAACGGGUGAGUAACACGUGGGUGAUCUGCCCUGCACUCUGGGAUAAGCCUGGGAAACUGGGUCUAAUACCGGAUAGGACCGCACUUUAGUGUGUGUGGUGGAAAGUUUUUUCGGUGUAGGAUGAGCCCGCGGCCUAUCAGCUUGUUGGUGGGGUAAUGGCCUACCAAGGCGGCGACGGGUAGCCGGACUGAGAGGUUGGUCGGCCACAUUGGGACUGAGAUACGGCCCAGACUCCUACGGGAGGCAGCAGUGGGGAAUAUUGCACAAUGGGCGCAAGCCUGAUGCAGCGACGCCGCGUGGGGGAUGACGGCCUUCGGGUUGUAAACUCCUUUCGCCAGGGACGAAGCGUUUUGUGACGGUACCUGGAGAAGAAGCACCGGCUAACUACGUG
RNAcentral lists this ribosomal RNA (463 nucleotides) under uncultured bacterium. RNAcentral describes it as "partial 16S ribosomal RNA". It matches the Rfam family "Bacterial small subunit ribosomal RNA", at positions 28 to 507 of the family's 1533-position model. The record is from RNAcentral.